This 406-nucleotide ribosomal RNA is filed under the name uncultured bacterium. RNAcentral's name for it is "partial 16S ribosomal RNA". It matches the Rfam family "Bacterial small subunit ribosomal RNA", at positions 30 to 526 of the family's 1533-position model. The record is from RNAcentral.
AUUGAACGCUGGCGGCAGGCUUAACACAUGCAAGUCGAACGAGUGGCGGACGGGUGAGUAAUGCUUGGGAAUCUAGCUUAUGGAGGGGGAUAACUACGGGAAACUGUAGCUAUUACCGCGUACCAUAGGAUGAGCCCAAGUGGGAUUAGGGAGUUGGUGAGGUAAAGGCUCACCAAGCCGACGAUCUCUAGCUGGUCUGAGAGGAGGACCAGCCAAACUGGAGCUGAGACACGGCCCGACCUCCUACGGAGGGCGGCAGUGGGGAAUAUUGCACAAUGGGCGCAAGCCUGAUGCAGACAUGCCGCGUGUGUGAAGAAGGCCUUCGGGUUGUAAAGCACUUUCAUCGAGGAGGCGUUACUCGCAGAAGAAGCACCGGCUAACUCCGUGCCAGCAGCCGCGGUAAUAC